AUGGGGCUUCUUGACCAGCUGUGGGACGACACGGUGGCCGGGCCGCGGCCGGACCACGGCCUCGGCAGGCUCCGCAAGUACGCCUCCUUCUCCCCGUCCUCCUCGGCGGCCGGCACGACCGCUGCCGUGCCGUCGGCCGACGUGGCGGCGCCGGCGGUGACGCGGAGCAUCACCAUCCUCCGCCCGCCGGCUCUGUCCGUGACGUCGCCGCGCGGCGAGUCCGGCUCCGGCUCCGCGCCCUCGUCCCCGGCCAGCGUCCCCGACUCCCCCUUCAGCACAGCAACGACACCCAGGGGAGAGAGUGGUUGGAGUAAGCUGCGCCGCAAAGGCAGGAUGGCCGCCGACGGCAUGGAGGCCAGCCCCGGCACCCCCAGGGUGGUGAUCAGUUCGCUCGACCGCUAA
This 402-nucleotide ribosomal RNA is filed under the name Triticum aestivum (bread wheat). Its description in RNAcentral is "partial small subunit ribosomal RNA". The record is from RNAcentral. Lineage: Eukaryota; Viridiplantae; Streptophyta; Magnoliopsida; Poales; Poaceae.